UUCCUUGUGGCUCAGCUGGUAGAGAAUCUGCCUGCAAUGCAGGAGACCUGGGUUCGAUCCCUGGGUUGGGAA
RNAcentral lists this transfer RNA (72 nucleotides) under Bos taurus (domestic cattle). It matches the Rfam family "tRNA". Rfam says of the family: Transfer RNA (tRNA) molecules are approximately 80 nucleotides in length. Their secondary structure includes four short double-helical elements and three loops (D, anti-codon, and T loops). The record is from Rfam by way of RNAcentral. RNAcentral also lists the same sequence under 5 other names. Lineage: Eukaryota; Metazoa; Chordata; Mammalia; Artiodactyla; Bovidae.